UACGUAGGUGGCAAGCGUUGUCCGGAUUUAUUGGGUUUAAAGGGUGCGUAGGCGGUCUAUUAAGUCAGCGGUGAAAGACGACAGCUCAACUGUCGAGGUGCCAUUGAUACUGAUGGACUUGAGUGCACACGAGGUAAGCGGAAUGGACGGUGUAGCGGUGAAAUGCAUAGAUAUCGUCCAGAACACCGAUAGUGAAGACAGCUUACCAGAGUGCAACUGACGCUGAGGCACGAAAGUGUGGGGAUCAAACAGG
RNAcentral lists this ribosomal RNA (253 nucleotides) under uncultured bacterium. RNAcentral describes it as "partial 16S ribosomal RNA". It matches the Rfam family "Bacterial small subunit ribosomal RNA", at positions 524 to 776 of the family's 1533-position model. The record is from RNAcentral.